Molecule: long non-coding RNA, 387 nt
Organism: Astyanax mexicanus (Mexican tetra)
Lineage: Eukaryota; Metazoa; Chordata; Actinopteri; Characiformes; Acestrorhamphidae
Exons: 3
Source: RefSeq, a predicted model, not a curated record
GUUGCUGCCUUGUCAUUAUUCAGUGUGAUCUCUGUUAUUGUGAAUGUGGUUCUGGCUUUUCUGCUUCUUAGGAAGCAACAGAAAGGUCGUUGCAAAGAUCCUACAAAUCACACAAAUCAGGAUGAAGACACAGAUGCCUUGAACUACGCAGCGAUACAAUUCAGAAACAAGCCGCCUCCCUCCAGAACACCCAGAUCUCCUCCCUCCAGAACACCCAGAGUCCAGGAAAGUCAAGAUAUUUAUUCUCAAGUCAAAGUGCGAUAGAGAAUGGGAAAUUAACUUUAAUUUAUAUAUAUAUAUAUAUAUAUAUAUAUAUAUAUAUAUAUAUAUAUAUAUAUAUAUAUAUAUAUAUAUAUAUAUAUAUGCACUGGAUAUUGGAAUAAAUAA